RNAcentral lists this ribosomal RNA (326 nucleotides) under uncultured eukaryote. Its description in RNAcentral is "partial 18S ribosomal RNA". It matches the Rfam family "Eukaryotic small subunit ribosomal RNA", at positions 1470 to 1796 of the family's 1831-position model. The record is from RNAcentral.
CCCUUAGAUGUUCUGGGCUGCACGCGCGCUACACUGAUGCACUCAACGAGUUUACGACCUUGCCCGAUAGGGUUGGGUAAUCUUUUUAAAAUGCAUCGUGAUGGGGAUAGAUUAUUGCAAUUAUUAAUCUUCAACGAGGACUUCCUAGUAAGCGCGAGUCAUCAGCUCGUGCUGAUUACGUCCCUGCCCUUUGUACACACCGCCCGUCGCUCCUACCGAUUGAGUGCUCAGGUGAAUAAUUCGGACUGCAGCAAUGUUUGGAUCCCGAACGUUGCAGCGGAAAGUUUAGUGAACCUUAUCACUUAGAGGAAGGAGAAGUCGUAACA